CCUACGGGAGGCAGCAGUGAGGAAUAUUGGUCAAUGGGCGCGAGCCUGAACCAGCCAAGUAGCGUGAAGGAUGACUGCCCUAUGGGUUGUAACUUCUUUUAUAUGGGAAUAAAAUGUUCCACGUGUGGGAUUUUGUAUGUACCAUAUGAAUAAGGAUCGGCUAACUCCGUGCCAGCAGCCGCGGUAAUACGGAGGAUCCGAGCGUUAUCCGGAUUUAUUGGGGUUAAAGGGAGCGUAGGUGGAUUGUUAAGUCAGUUGUGAAAGUUUGCGGCUCAACCGUAAAAUUGCAAUUGAUACUGGCAGUCUUGAGUACAGUUGAGGUAGGCGGAAUUCGUGGUGUAGCGGUGAAAUGCUUAGAUAUCACGAAGAACUCCGAUUGCGAAGGCAGCUUACUAAACUGCCACUGACAUUGAUGCUCGAAAGUGUGGGUAUCAAACAGGAUUAGAUACCCUAGUAGUC
This 459-nucleotide ribosomal RNA is filed under the name uncultured bacterium. RNAcentral's name for it is "partial 16S ribosomal RNA". It matches the Rfam family "Bacterial small subunit ribosomal RNA", at positions 338 to 795 of the family's 1533-position model. The record is from RNAcentral.